GUAGGUUUUUACCUGAACGAAACCACAAAAAUGAAAAGAACAAAAGAAAGAGGAGAGAGAGAGGGAGGGAGAGAUCGUAGCAAGAAAAGGGUAGGAAGAUGAAAAAAAUGUAAAAAUCGAAGAUCUGAUCUUCAAUCGAUCUCGACAUCGCCAGGGAUUUUCUUCAUCAUUGGUCAUGGUGUUUCCUGUUUAUUCUUCCCAGGUACCUACACAGUUCAAGCUCACUGGGCCAAUUCCACCUGAAUUGGGGAACAUGUCCAAGCUAAGCUAUCUGUCUGGAUAUUACUAAGGGAGAGGAUGCAGUUCAACAUGAACCAGAAAAAAUGGCGAAAUCUGUACCAUCUGAUCUAAUCUUUGAUAUUCUGACACGGGUCCCAUUCAUAUUUUUAUUUAGUUGCGGAUGCGUAAGCAAGUCCUGGCAAAGCAUCGCUCACAUGCCAUAUUUCAUACGCCAACAUUGCAAAAGAACCAUGACCAUCUCUGGAUUUUUCAUCCAAAGCAUGGUGCGCAACCGUUACAGAUCCACAUUCAUCUCUUUCUACAACUCACCUGAGAUUCCACCACCAUCUCUCUCUACCUCCUUUCAUAGAGGCUAGCAUACUUGCUUGCUGCAUUACACUUUGGGGACCACAUGAUGGAGGUUUUGGAAUGAAGCAAUAUCUUGGUGAACUAAUGCCAGUAAUUGUUGAAGCCCUCUUGGAUGGAGCUGCUGUUAUAAAGUGUGAAGUGGCUGUCUCAACUCUUGGUCAAGUUGUACAGAGCACUGGGUAUGCUAUGUCCUCUAAUUUGCUGUUCUCAAUUUAAUAUUACAUCACCUGACAUUGCAUGGUCAUUGACCAGUCUUAGCUAUGAUUGGUAAUAGCUUGCCCCAUAUGGCAUGCUUUCUAAGAGUCUCGAUGACCAGUUCUCAGGACACAUCUUCUUUCUUCUUUCAGUCACCAAUACAAUUCCAAAUUUUUCUUAAGUUCCAUUUGAUUGACAUUAAAUAAAUAAAAUGAUAUGCUUUCGAUAAGAGGAACAAAAGAAAAGAUUUUCAAUUCCCAAAAAAUGAUCUCCAAGGGGCUUCUACCUUUGUGAAUUUUAUUUUUCCUUGCAAGUAUUGGUCCAAACUGGUUCUCUCUAAUUUCUUUUAAUGAGAACUCCCCAUGAUUGUGUCUACAAAAGCUGAGCCCAGGUUAACUCUCUGCUGUUCUGCUUCUUGAUCCUUAUGUGAUUGCUCCAUACAAAGAGUACCCACAAUCGCUUGGUUUACUAUUGAAAUUGUUAAAGGAGCCGAUGGAUUGGGUUCAAACAGCUGGUGGAUUGCGACAGCCUUUGAUUUUACAACUAAAGGGGUUCUCCAAGCUGCAGUGCAAGGGGAAUUGUGGCGGAUGAAGGACAUGGAUGGGAGGCCGCCCGGAAUGAUUGGAUUGUGGCCAAAAAAGAGUGUCACAUUCAUCAACAAUCAUGAUACAGGAUCCACACAACAAUUAUGGUCAUUCCCUUCGGAUAAAGUCAUGCAAGGAUAUGCUUAUGUUCUCACCCAUCUAGGAAUC
Magnolia sinica is the source of this 1535-nucleotide long non-coding RNA. RefSeq lists it as uncharacterized. The record is from RefSeq and is a predicted model, not a curated record. The transcript has 5 exons. NCBI's taxonomy places the organism in Eukaryota, Viridiplantae, Streptophyta, Magnoliopsida, Magnoliales, Magnoliaceae.